GUCCCCUUCGUCUAGCGGCUAGGACUCCGCCCUUUCACGGCGGCAACAGGGGUUCGAAUCCCCUAGGGGACGCCA
Molecule: transfer RNA, 75 nt
Filed under: Pantoea agglomerans
Lineage: Bacteria; Pseudomonadati; Pseudomonadota; Gammaproteobacteria; Enterobacterales; Erwiniaceae
Description: tRNA-Glu
Rfam family: tRNA
About the family: Transfer RNA (tRNA) molecules are approximately 80 nucleotides in length. Their secondary structure includes four short double-helical elements and three loops (D, anti-codon, and T loops).
Source: RNAcentral